GCGCCUGUAGCUCAGCGGAUUAGAGCAUCUGACUACGGAUCAGAGGGUCGGGGGUUCGAGUCCCUCCAGGCGCGCCA
RNAcentral lists this transfer RNA (77 nucleotides) under Bacillota bacterium. Its description in RNAcentral is "tRNA-Arg". It matches the Rfam family "tRNA". Rfam says of the family: Transfer RNA (tRNA) molecules are approximately 80 nucleotides in length. Their secondary structure includes four short double-helical elements and three loops (D, anti-codon, and T loops). Further hydrogen bonds mediate the characteristic L-shaped molecular structure. tRNAs have two regions of fundamental functional importance: the anti-codon, which is responsible for specific mRNA codon recognition, and the 3' end, to which the tRNAs corresponding amino acid is attached (by aminoacyl-tRNA synthetases). tRNAs cope with the degeneracy of the genetic code in two manners: having more than one tRNA (with a specific anti-codon) for a particular amino acid; and 'wobble' base-pairing, i.e. permitting non-standard base-pairing at the 3rd anti-codon position. The record is from RNAcentral. Lineage: Bacteria; Bacillati; Bacillota.